Molecule: ribosomal RNA, 550 nt
Filed under: uncultured bacterium
Lineage: Bacteria
Description: bacterial SSU rRNA
Rfam family: Bacterial small subunit ribosomal RNA
Source: RNAcentral
UAGGGAAUCUUCCACAAUGGGCGCAAGCCUGAUGGAGCAACACCGCGUGAGUGAAGAAGGGUUUCGGCUCGUAAAGCUCUGUUGUUAAAGAAGAACACGUAUGAGAGUAACUGUUCAUACGUUGACGGUAUUUAACCAGAAAGUCACGGCUAACUACGUGCCAGCAGCCGCGGUAAUACGUAGGUGGCAAGCGUUAUCCGGAUUUAUUGGGCGUAAAGAGAGUGCAGGCGGUUUUCUAAGUCUGAUGUGAAAGCCUUCGGCUUAACCGGAGAAGUGCAUCGGAAACUGGAUAACUUGAGUGCAGAAGAGGGUAGUGGAACUCCAUGUGUAGCGGUGGAAUGCGUAGAUAUAUGGAAGAACACCAGUGGCGAAGGCGGCUACCUGGUUUGCAACUGACGCUGAGACUCGAAAGCAUGGGUAGCGAACAGGAUUAGAUACCCUGGUAGUCCAUGCCGUAAACGAUGAGUGCUAGGUGUUGGAGGGUUUCCGCCCUUCAGUGCCGGAGCUAACGCAUUAAGCACUCCGCCUGGGGAGUACGACCGCAAGGUUG